This 554-nucleotide long non-coding RNA is filed under the name Physcomitrium patens. RNAcentral's name for it is "long non-coding RNA (PPAT_LNC002092)". Lineage: Eukaryota; Viridiplantae; Streptophyta; Bryopsida; Funariales; Funariaceae. The record is from RNAcentral.
CUGUGAUUGUUCGUUUUACUUAUUCCAAAUUAAUCUAAUGGGAAUAAAUCCGUGUAGGGGGAUUUAAACAUGGGGAAUGAUUAGUUGCUUAAGCGUUCAUAUUAGGGUCAGACAAUCAAUUACCUCCUGAAUGUAUCGUCUCUAUUUCCAAUAUCUGAACACACAAGGAAACUAUAAUCUCCUCCUUCACUUUAUGAGUCUCUUCCUUAUAGCAAUUCAGUCACACCAAUAACUGCUAUUUCCACCAAUAUAUUCACCCUCAUAAUCUCCAACUAUAAUACUUCGCCCUCACAGCUUUCAACAUACAAUUACCCUCAUUCCAAUCAUUGGAAUUCUUCACACAAAACUGCCAUUCACAUUACAGUGUUUCACACAAACACAGACUCAUUCUCUUUGCUGAACUACAAUCAGAUUUCAGCAUUCAAUCUUUCUUCUUCUCAAAUAAUACCAAUCACAUUUCCAUUCCAUAAUUCACUUCAUAAUAUUCAGAAACUCUCAAUCCUCUUAUUCAAAGAAAAUAACAAACAAAACAAAAGAGGUAGCACCAAGCUUAU